Molecule: non-coding RNA, 1398 nt
Organism: Linepithema humile (Argentine ant)
Lineage: Eukaryota; Metazoa; Arthropoda; Insecta; Hymenoptera; Formicidae
Source: RefSeq, a predicted model, not a curated record
AGGAGGAUGAGGAAGUCGAUUGCAGCACAGCGGGGCGUCGCUUUCUAGGUUAAACGCGUCCACAACUUUUUACCAUCGUGCAACCCGACGAUCGGCGGGCCUCCGUGUUGUCGUGCGCGGUGCGUCACGGAAAAUGCGUCGGGCAGUUUUAAUAACGCCCGUGCCGUUCGCACGUCGAAUAAGAGGCCCCUCGUUGGACAUGGCCACCGUUAUCACCACCGCCCGCUCCGUGUCUUAUUUGUGAACCUGCGUCUCCAACUGCCACAAGGCACAUUUUUACUCUAUGGCCAAGCUGCUUACCGCUCCGCAGUUGGUGCGUAACAAGGCGGUGUAAAAAAGACCGCGGGAGAGAGAGAAAAAGAAAAAGAAGAGAGGGAAUGGAAAGCGGCACGUUAUCGGCUGUUUCCGAGCCCUUUGUCGGUUGCCACGCCUUCAAAACUGCGUUUGCGCCACGGUAUUUGCGCAACAGUUGGAAGUUGGAAUUUUGCCUCCCGGAAAAUCACCCCCGCACGCGGCCCAAAUAAGGAAGGGAGAGCCCGACGCUAUCUUUCCAUCGUCGCAGACGAAAAUCCAGGAGCAGCCCAUUAGCUGGCUAACCGGCGCUAACCCACCUCGCCCUUUCGCUUGCAAGAGAGCCGCCCGUCUACAGUCUGUGAAUCGUGCGCACACAUGGCCGAUUGCCGUACGUUACAUGCACUUAUACUAGAUGUCCUGAAGACGCGCGCUUCCUUAACGGCUAAGAAGCAAAAUCUCCUUUUGGCGAGAUUAUUGCACUAGUAUGUGUGAAAAAUUAAUCAGAAUCAGUUGCAGAAUUAGACUCGAAAAUUGAUACUUAUAAAAUUGUUAAUUUUUAAAGAACUCUGAUUAAAAGUGAAAUAAUAAAAGACUCAAAAUUUAUUAAAAUUAAAGAGAGGUUUAUUAAGAUUAAAGAGAGGAAGUACGCAGUUAGCGGGACAUCUCGUAUACCGCGUCAUAUAUUUGUAUUAUUUCAUACGCUAAAUUUAACAGCUGACCCGAUCAGUUAAGCUUUAAAGAAGAUACAGUUGCGUGACGAUGCUCUUUCCUUUUAUUUUUCGCGUGGAAUUGUGGUAGAAUGUAUUCGACACACUUUCCGUUUUUCUGAAAAUUCAACAGUCAUUAAUUGAUAAGUGAAAAAAUUCAAUUUUAUCGUAUAAAAUAUCUCACGUUGAAGCAUCGUCCUACGCAACGCGCUUUACGCUAUACACCGCAAGGUGCAUUCGAUUCAUCCAAAAAUCCCAAUUUAUACAUUGUUAAACGACGCCUUUUACCAAAUUAUGCGAAGUCACUUCCUCUCGAGGAGCGAUCUGGCCUAUUAUUAUGCAUCAAUAUACCGAUUCGACACAUAGUGAAUAAAAUUGUAAGAAUUUUUUUUUCCAA